CCCUUAGAUGUUCUGGGCCGCACAUGCGCUACACUGAAGGAGGCAGCGUGUACUCCUGGAUCGAAAGAUUUGGGUAACCCGCGAAUCUCCUUCGUGCUAGGGAUUGAGGUUUGCAAUUAUCCUUCAUGAACGAGGAAUUCCCAGUAAGUGCAAGUCAUAAGCUUGCGCUGACUACGUCCCUGCCCUUUGUACACACCGCCCGUCGCUACUACCGAUUGAAUGAUUUAGUGAGGACUUCGGACUGGGACCGAUGCGGCUUUCGGGCUGCGUCGGUAUUCUGGAAAGAUGUCCAAACUGUAUCAUUUAGAGGAAGUAAAAGUCGUANCA
RNAcentral lists this ribosomal RNA (327 nucleotides) under uncultured eukaryote. Its description in RNAcentral is "partial 18S ribosomal RNA". It matches the Rfam family "Eukaryotic small subunit ribosomal RNA", at positions 1470 to 1796 of the family's 1831-position model. The record is from RNAcentral.